RNAcentral lists this ribosomal RNA (404 nucleotides) under uncultured bacterium. RNAcentral's name for it is "bacterial SSU rRNA". It matches the Rfam family "Bacterial small subunit ribosomal RNA", at positions 355 to 775 of the family's 1533-position model. The record is from RNAcentral.
UGAGGAAUAUUGGGCAAUGGGCGCAAGCCUGACCCAGCAACGCCGCGUGCGGGAUGAGGUCCUUCGGGAUGUAAACCGCUUUUCAGGGGGAGCAGCAAGGAGCGUACCCCUGGAAGAAGUCACGGCUAACUACGUGCCAGCAGCCGCGGUAACACGUAGGUGACAAGCGUUAUCCGGAUUUACUGGGCGUAAAGGGUCCGCAGGUGGCUCUGAAGGUCUGCCAUGAAAGCGCCCGGCUUAACCGGGCGAGGUUGGUGGAAACCGUGGGGCUUGAGUCGCGCAGAGGGCACUGGAAUUCCCGGUGUAGUGGUGGAAUGCGUAGAGAUCGGGAGGAACACCAGAGGCGCAAGCGGGUGCCUGGGCGACGACUGACACUGAGGGACGAAAGCGUGGGGAGCAAACAG